RNAcentral lists this unclassified non-coding RNA (686 nucleotides) under Hevea brasiliensis (rubber tree). The record is from RNAcentral. Lineage: Eukaryota; Viridiplantae; Streptophyta; Magnoliopsida; Malpighiales; Euphorbiaceae.
GGUCAUUCGACAUUGUGUGCCUUUAUCCAGAAGAUUAUCUACAGAAACAUUUCAUGCCAAACAUACAUGUGAUAAUACAGACUAGAAGGAAAACUAGAUGCAAAAAAAAUAAUCUUAAAGCUACCUGAAGAAUGAUGUUCAUUCAAUCUCAUCACUUGUAAAUCCAACAAAAAGAAUACCAAAUUAACUCCAGCUACUCCUGCACUUGCAGAAUAUAAAACCUUGAAGCGCUGUCACGCAAUUCCAUAUGUACAGUCGUUGCAUCGGAAUCCAAAUAGAGCCAGUAUCCAUCUGUUCACUGAGAGACCUGGGGAAAGCAACUUUAAGGAAAGUAUCAUGGUAUGAACAAACAAGGAGACGUGACUCAUCCACCUCCUUUGAGACGAUUCCCAUCCUCGAUUAGCAUAGAGGUCAGCUCAUCAAGGUUGAAGUAACAGUGAGACAUACACCAGUCUCUAGCCUGUGGAUGAAUUGGGAGUUAUCCUAUGAGAGACUAGCACUGCCUCAUUGCUAGCAGCUUUCAUUGCUGCAAUCUCCUCUAACCGUUUCCAAGUCAUUUCACGUUUUGUCUUGUCCUCUUCUUCAUGAGCCUCAUCUUCUUCAAAUUUGCGCAAACAUUCUUCAAAGAGUUCAGGAUCAACAUCAGAGAAGAUUUUGCGGACAUUCAAUGUCAAGCUUUGUACUGC